Molecule: long non-coding RNA, 255 nt
Organism: Grus americana (Whooping crane)
Lineage: Eukaryota; Metazoa; Chordata; Aves; Gruiformes; Gruidae
Exons: 3
Source: RefSeq, a predicted model, not a curated record
CUCUGCCAUAGGACCGGCAGCUGACCUGGGGAGGCUGUAUGCAUUUGGACUGCUCUGAAGUGUGUUUUGGCUGCAUUUAAAGAAAUCUAUGGUGAAAAUAUGCUGGGAGGAAGCCUCAGACAGAAGAAGAUUAUUUUCCCAUGGGGAGUGGAAGACCAAUAUAAUUUGCAGUGAGGAAGGUACAAUUAUAAUCCUAUCUAUGCCAAACAUGGCUUCACAAAAUACGUACAAGGCGUGAGAAGGAAGAAAAUAAGC